RNAcentral lists this transfer RNA (68 nucleotides) under Ellipes minuta. RNAcentral's name for it is "tRNA-Met". Lineage: Eukaryota; Metazoa; Arthropoda; Insecta; Orthoptera; Tridactylidae. The record is from RNAcentral.
AAAAAGGUAAGCUAAUUUAAGCUAUUGGGUUCAUACCCCAAAGAUAGAGCAUUGACCUCUCCUUUUUA